AGACUGGCAUUGUCGCAAUACUGUGAAGGAUAAUUUCUUCAAUUUUUGAAUGGGGUGGAUGCCAGGAGUGUGCUGUAACAGAGCCAACCCUUAAUGUCUUUCACCCCAGCAAAGGACAGUAAGUUCAUCUGGGUGAGACUGCCCUCCCCUCCGAGAAGUUCAUCCCCACUGCCUGCAUAGACCUGGAUUACAGCAGGAACACAUGCCGUCAGCUACAUCAUACACACAUAACAGAUAUUGUGAGCGGCCCUCAGCUGUGUGCUGCCUUUGGUUUCAUGUACACGUGCAAGCCCUUUGUGCCACUACGCAAACCAUAACUUCCGUGCAACCCGAGACCGCAGAGCGAAAGAAACAACCUGCACAAGAAACCGCUGUGAGAGAGGACCACACACACAACUAGCCGAGGUGAAGUACCCAACCGUUGAUAGAAACAAGCUUCAACAGAGGGAAACGCACAACUUUAUUUACUGUCAACAUCUGCUUACAAGAACAAGUGACCUCCAGACUUUUUUGACAUGGAGGCAUACAUGUACAUGCCGAGAAUGGUCAGAGUUGUUGGAGGGGUCACUGUCGGUCAGGAAUAUUACCAGGCAGCUUCUGAAGCUAUGGGUUUCUGAAGU
Branchiostoma belcheri (Belcher's lancelet) is the source of this 620-nucleotide long non-coding RNA. RefSeq lists it as uncharacterized. The record is from RefSeq and is a predicted model, not a curated record. NCBI's taxonomy places the organism in Eukaryota, Metazoa, Chordata, Leptocardii, Amphioxiformes, Branchiostomatidae. The transcript has 3 exons.